Molecule: long non-coding RNA, 548 nt
Organism: Stegostoma tigrinum
Lineage: Eukaryota; Metazoa; Chordata; Chondrichthyes; Orectolobiformes; Stegostomatidae
Exons: 4
Source: RefSeq, a predicted model, not a curated record
CAUUAGCACAGAGCCUGUUUAUUACCACUGGUCUGUAGGCUCAGCAUUGCAAAUAAUUAUCUCUUUUGUCCUUGCUGGAAAAGCAAGAUCUAAUAUCUUUGUCGUACAAAGUAUUAUGUUGGACAGAUAAAGACGGGACAGUGAGAAUUCCCAACAUGCCAGUUUGAACAGGAACCUGGCAAUUUCAGCUCACUGUGUAAUCCUUUGGACCACCAAGUUGGACACCCACCCGAAGUCUCUUGGUAUAUUCCUGGAUGAUGGUGUUGCUGACCAGGCAGCAUUUAUUGCCCAGACGGCUGUUAAGAGUCAACCACAUCGCUGAGGGUCUGGAGUCACAUGUAGGCCAGACCAGUUCUCUGGAGGAAUUGUGACAGGCUAUUUGAAUGACUUGAUGACAUCACUACAGCUCCACAUUGGGAACUGUCAUUAAAGAAUGGUACAAUUCAGGGCAUAGAAGAAACUAAAGUUUUCACAGAGCAGAAGAUUGCUUAGGAAGGCUUGCUUGGAGGUCACUGAUGAGUGCCUUUGCUUUACCAUGGAGUACAAAA